GCCCGGAUGGCGGAAUUGGCAGACGCGCCAGACUCAAAAUCUGGUUCCUUCGCGGGAGUGCCGGUUCGACCCCGGCUCCGGGCA
RNAcentral lists this transfer RNA (84 nucleotides) under Streptococcaceae bacterium. RNAcentral describes it as "tRNA-Leu". It matches the Rfam family "tRNA". From Rfam's summary of the family: Transfer RNA (tRNA) molecules are approximately 80 nucleotides in length. Their secondary structure includes four short double-helical elements and three loops (D, anti-codon, and T loops). The record is from RNAcentral. Lineage: Bacteria; Bacillati; Bacillota; Bacilli; Lactobacillales; Streptococcaceae.